CAUCUAAUGAAUUGUCCAUAACAGUUCUUAAUCCUAGAUAGUAAAAGAAAAAUUUGUUCUCUAUAUAUUUUUGCUCAGUGAUUUGUACAAUCAAUUUUUUGAUACAUUUCUAAUACACGAUUGUUCUUGUGAGAGGAAUUUGGUACAGCAAUUUGAUGAUUAGCCUAACAGCUAAUUAUCUGCUGACCUAUGUUACCCGAACUCGGCUGAAAGUGUCCAAACUGGAUAUGUGUCCGAGUGUCGGACUCCGCAAUAAUUUGAAAAUUUUAUAUUUUUGGCCUAAAAUAAAGUGUCGGAGUGCCCAUACCUAUGUCCGAGUGUUGAGUGUCCGACACGAGUACUUGAAGCAAAAUGAAGAGUCGGGGUAACAUAGCUGCUAACAACAAUGCCGAGAACCAAGAUACAUCAUACACACACCAUUGUGAACAUCCUGCUGUGCAUGACACCUGCAUAGCUGCAUAUGAAAAGAAAAAACACAUGCAUAAUUCGUUCAAUAAAGGAUCUCUGUGAUUGUUCGAUAAGAACAGAAAACGUGCUAGAUAAUUGAUGGUAUUCUGUUGAGGUGUGCUCUUAAUCAUUAAUGCUUUUAUCCAACACAAUCUUGAUAAGACUCUUGAAUGGCCACUGCCAUGCCCAUACAAAGUGAGUAACUGCUUAGUCAAAGGCCUAACACAAUGCUAUGUAAUGUGUUACAUUGU
Molecule: long non-coding RNA, 698 nt
Filed under: Daucus carota (carrot)
Lineage: Eukaryota; Viridiplantae; Streptophyta; Magnoliopsida; Apiales; Apiaceae
Description: long non-coding RNA (DCAR_LNC000734)
Source: RNAcentral